Molecule: ribosomal RNA, 373 nt
Filed under: uncultured bacterium
Lineage: Bacteria
Description: bacterial SSU rRNA
Rfam family: Bacterial small subunit ribosomal RNA
Source: RNAcentral
ACGUAGGUGACAAGCGUUGUCCGGAUUUACUGGGCGUAAAGAGCGCGCAGGCGGUCGUUCAAGUCGAGUGUGAAAUCCCCCGGCUCAACUGGGGAGGGUCACUCGAUACUGAUCGACUCGAAGACAGGAGAGGGAAGCGGAAUUCCCGGUGUAGUGGUGAAAUGCGUAGAUAUCGGGAGGAACACCAGUGGCGAAGGCGGCUUCCUGGCCUGUUCUUGACGCUGAGGCGCGAAAGCUAGGGGAGCAAACGGGAUUAGAUACCCCGGUAGUCCUAGCCGUAAACGAUGGACACUAGGUGUUGGUGGUAUCAACCCCGCCAGUGCCGAAGCUAACGCAUUAAGUGUCCCGCCUGGGGAGUACGGCCGCAAGGCUA